Bombus impatiens (common eastern bumble bee) is the source of this 1756-nucleotide long non-coding RNA. RefSeq lists it as uncharacterized. NCBI's taxonomy places the organism in Eukaryota, Metazoa, Arthropoda, Insecta, Hymenoptera, Apidae. The transcript has 2 exons. The record is from RefSeq and is a predicted model, not a curated record.
AAAUUCGUCACUUACGAUUUGCGACUUGUAAAUUGCAAAUUAGUUCGAUCGUUCAAGAUGAGACGACGUCGAAGAAAUAAUUGAAUUUCUGACUUCUUGCUUACGUCGUCGUACCGUGAAAGGGUUAACCGUAAACAUGGCAGAUUUCGCGAGACACUUUAGGGCAAAAAGAUCGAUUCUUGGCAAAGUAGACAACAGCCUUGGCCCGAAUCGGGGUCAGCUCGUGGGAUAGAAUCGAUAUCGGUCCGUGCACGCGCGUCCAGAUCCUUUGUAAAAUCAAUAGGCUCGGCUACUUAAAUGGUACCGUUCGCUGGUUAUAGUCACCGGUCGGUUACGGGCCACGGAUACGGUUACGAGAAGGCUGAAUCGAUGCGCUCUGUGAUUUACUGUUAAUCGCGAGACCACUGUUAAUCAACGUCUGGCUGCGUGCACGCCACGGCUCGAAUAUUCCUCACGCGGUUGCGCAUCGAUGGAAACAACACGUCCCGAUAUUAGCUCCGCGCCCCGUUUUUGCGCCGCUUAACCUUUCAUCCUCCUUGUCUCUCUCCUCUCUUUAUGAGCGAAAGAAAGAAAGAGAAAGAUCCGCUCGCUUACGAGCCCGAAAGCUCCGCGAGCAUUCUCACGCGUUCCGCUCGCUGUUUCUGGCCGCCUUGAAACGGAAUUAUAGCCGGCGCAGGAUUGUGUUUCGAUUUUGUUGCUUCGAGCAUUCCACGAGGCUGUCAAAUGUCAGAGUUCGAAAUAUUUUUGGAGUUCAAUUAUCUAUGUGUACGCAGUGGCUCAUGAAGCUAUUUGAACGCUUACCACGGAGAACUUUUACGUAAAUGUCGAGUCUGUUAUAUAAAACGUAUCGAAAUUCGGUUGGCCCGAGACACGGUUAUAUCGGUAAAAUUUGAAAUCAAUUUGCAAAUAUUUAUACAAGUUACGAGACGAGUUUACGGUGAUUUGGUAAAAGAAUAUCGUACAGCGUGAAUAGCCGUGUGAAAUACACAAUAAGCGCACAAGAUGUUGCCAUUGAGUAUCGAGAGGCCUAUUGAUACGAUGGGUAAUCGAACGUUUAAAUACUUUUGUGAUCUCUGAGAAACAUAUAGCUACUUUCACAGCUUCCACGUACAUUUCCUGGUUUGUUUUAAGCUCUAUCAGAGCUACCAAUUUAUAACCAUGCACGGUACUAAUGAAAUCUCAAAGUGUUUGGUAUGACAUACAUAAUAUACGUAUAAAGGAUUUCUAUAAAUAUUCGAACACUUGUGCGAGAAAUAAGCGAAGGUUUACUUUCUUUCGAGCAAUCCAGUAUUACGUUUAGUGGAAUAAUAUUGUAUAUCUACGGAUGGAGAUUUCAAGUUCUUUUUUCUAGGUAAUAGCGGGAAAGAUUAACGAAGAAAAAUCCUAUGUGACUUAAUGAAAUCUACGUAAUAUCGUUAGGCUGUGGUGAAGAAAGAUAAGUCUCGUUGAUGCAUACAACCUUUAGAUGGUAUAAUAUAUUGCAGCUUUUAGCACGUUGCUCGUCAAAUACAUCGUAUUUUAUAUCAUCAAAUGUAAUAUAAAUAAUCCAUUGCAUAACCGUCCUUUUACUGCUCGCGUCUUACUUUUGAUGCAUCAUUCGCCGGUGAAAUGUCCUCUGGUUUUUCGUGAAGCAAUUAACGUUAAAGCUAUCGACCACUAACGUAUAAAACUCGUGCUAAAGGAAUCUAGAUGCAAGCUAUAUGAAAAAGUAAGUGAUACAAGGAGAAAAGGAAACUUUAUUCGAGCAUCAACUUUA